Zea mays is the source of this 2026-nucleotide long non-coding RNA. RefSeq lists it as uncharacterized. The record is from RefSeq and is a predicted model, not a curated record. Lineage: Eukaryota; Viridiplantae; Streptophyta; Magnoliopsida; Poales; Poaceae. The transcript has 4 exons.
AUACGCACCUUUGUAGCCCAAAUCAACCCUGAAUCCUGUCUCCUCCCUCCAACCGCACGCCAAGAAUGGAGAAUUUUGCAAACAUAGCACCGUCUACGGCAGGCUUCAGACUUUUGGCACCGCGGUCGUGGCAAUUAAAAGUGUGGCAUUAAAAUCUCCCUCGUUUUGAAGAUUUAGCAUCGUACGCGCGCAAUGGUCAUUAAGCAUUGUCUAGUUCCCGUCGUACCCUCGCUCCGUUACAUCCUUGCCGCCGUCUUCCUCUUCUACCGUCUCCCGUAUUCCAUUCUCUCCUCCAAGGGCUCUGCAUCUGCUUCCUCCUUUUCGUCAUCGUCAAACGCCAAUGCUGAACUCGACUCUCUCUGAUUCAGCUCUGUUGCUGGCAGCAGCCACUACCGCUACAGGACUGAUGCCUCCGCCCUUCAUCUCGUUCCAGCAUGUCCACCUUCUGCACGUCGGCCUCACAGGAUGUCGUCGUCGCCGAGCAGCUCACAACUUCGACGACCUCGAGGAGGCCAUCCAUGCCGCAUCCAUCGUGACCUAGACGUCGCCGGACCACCUCCCGCGGGACCCGGUGGCGAGUCAGUGUGGGAGCAGGGGAGGAAGGUAGACGCGGUUGGUAGAGGAAGUUCGUUCAUCGCAGCCCGCAGAGGUCCACCACCACCACGACAACGCUAGCAGAUCUUCAUCCUAAUUCAUGUGUUAUUGACCAUGUAAGGAGACAUAUACUUUUCUAGCUUGAUGGAUGAGGCGAACAAUAACUUGUCUUUGGAUGACUUCAGUGUCCUGCCUGAGGUAAAUCCAUCAGGCAAUGAGCAUGAACCACCCAUUGUUCAGAGUACUCCAUUAUCAAGACCCAAUUAGAAAAGGACAAAGAAUUUUAGUGAACAAGAAGAUGAAUUGCUUGUGACAGCUUGGUUAAACAUUAGUAUCAAUCCUGUUCAUGGCACUAAUCAGACUCGUGGCACAUUCUCGAAGAGGGUUUAUGAGUUCUUCCACAACAACAAGACUUUCGAAUCGUCUCGGAUUGAAAAUUCAUUAUUGCAUCGAUGAGGACUCAUUCAAGAGAAUGUGAAUUAGUUUUGUGGAUGUGUAUCAAAUAUUGAGGACAGAACUCAAAGUGGGGUUACUUAUCAAGAUAAGCCAUGGCUUUGUUCAAGAGCAAAGACAAUAAAUCAUUCCAAUUCGUGCAUUGCUGGAAUAUAUUGCGGAAUCAACCCAAAUGGCAUGAGAAGCACAAGCAGAUGGAGGUUAUUAAACAAGUACCCAACAAAAAACUGAAGUCAAGCAUGAACUCUAGUAUGGGAAAUUCAACCACCAUCGUUGCUGAUAGUAGGGAACAAUGAGGUCGAUGCAAAUGCCUCUCCACACGCUGCUGCUCCCAAGAGACCAAUUGGUACAAAGAAGGCCAAAACAGCAUUAUGACGUGGUGACACUUACAUCAAGGCUUCAGAUUAUUUUUAGGCAGAAAAGAAGGAGGCUGAUGCAGAGAAAGAAAGGAAGAAAUAGGAAAGGUUCAAUCAAUCAUAUGAACUAGAGAAAUAGAGGCUUCUUGUAGAACAAGCACGGGCUGCAAAUGAGGCAAAAAGAUUUACAGAUAAAAGAAAAUGAAAUGCAAGUGAAGAGAAUGUUUGAGGAAGAGAGGAUUAUGACAACGGAUAUUACUUCGAUGGCAGACCAUUCGCAGCAGUACUACAAGGGCCUAUAAAUUGAGAUUAUUGCUCGUCGUGCAUCAAAGUAGCUCUCAGUAUUGGUUGCUGUGUUGGAGAUGCCCUAAAUGAAGCCAUCCAUGGUAUCAGUACAGAGUGCAACAUGAUUUCCUUGACAAGCCUUCAAGAAAAAUGUGUCGUCAUUAGCUUGAAAUAAAUGUCAUAGUCAUUAGGGAGAUUUGAACUUUUUAUUUGAGAGCUAUCAUUGUGAGUGGGACAACUGGUAUUGGUGCUCUGUUGCCUUUCUUGUUUAAUAGUUUUGGUCAAAAGUAGUUAGAGAUCAUAUGUCGUUUGAACUGAUCAAAAACUAUUUGGUCGUG